Molecule: ribosomal RNA, 440 nt
Filed under: uncultured bacterium
Lineage: Bacteria
Description: bacterial SSU rRNA
Rfam family: Bacterial small subunit ribosomal RNA
Source: RNAcentral
CCUACGGGGGGCAGCAGUGGGGAAUAUUGCACAAUGGGGGAAACCCUGAUGCAGCAACGCCGCGUGAGUGAUGAAGGCCUUCGGGUCGUAAAGCUCUGUCCUAAGGGAAGAAUACUGACGGUACCUUAGGAGGAAGCCCCGGCUAACUACGUGCCAGCAGCCGCGGUAAUACGUAGGGGGCUAGCGUUAUCCGGAAUUACUGGGCGUAAAGGGUGCGUAGGCGGGCCUUCAAGUCAGAGGUGGAAGGCUACGGCUCAACCGUAGUAAGGCUUUGAAACUGUAGGGCUUGAAUGCAGGAGAGGCGUGUGGAAGUCCCCGUGUAGCGGUGAGAUGCGUAGAUAUUGGGAGGAACACCAGUUGCGAAGGCGGCUCUCUGGACUGUAACUGACGCUGAGGCAAGAAGGCGUGGGGAGCGAACAGGAUUAGAUACCCGUGUAGUC